CCCCACAGCACGGGCCUGGGCCGGGCCCGGCGCUCCUGCUUUCCCCCUCCAGGCCCCGCCUUCCACCUUCGGGCCCGACUCCGAGCCGGCAGCCCCCCAGGGAGGGCCAAAAGCCCCUCCCCAGUACCGUGGCCGUCCCCUUCUCCCCGCCCUGCUAGAAGCAGCUGUGCAGCACGGAUCCAUCCAACCUGGUGCUGCUCCCCCGGUCUUGGGGGGCGCACGGGGCAGCACGGCGGGGGGCUGCGGUGCAGCGUGGGGUGUGCAGGCAGAGGGUUUGCCUCCUGCUUGAGGAGAAAUGCCUUGUCAGUGGAAGCAAACUUCCUGUGCUUCUGGACAACGGCCAGAGCUCUGAUGGAAAACUGGCCAAAAUGUGUGUUUUCCUUGUGAAUAUUCCCUCCCUCUGAGCUGCUGGCAGCCCGGCCAUGUCACCGAACCACCUCCUCGUCCUCAGUGCCAUCACGUCCUCCUCUCCAUGGCUGGGAUGUCCCACGGUCCCUGGUGCUGCCCUCACCCAUCACCGCAGCCCUGGCUUGGCAGCUUCUUGCUCUGAGCCUCAGGCCUGGUAAAGGUGGCUUUAUCUGGCUGCAUCCUUUCCAUCUCGCAGCAAAGCCCAAAAAGCAAAGAGUUGUGAUACAGCAGAGGUCGGCAGGAGCUGCCCCUGCCUUUCAGAAGGAGGAGACCCUCUGCUGCCAGCAGGGAAAUCUCUUCUGUCCUGUUGUGGAUAAGAAUGAUUCACCCAGCGUAAACCAGCACUGCACCCUGUUAAGGGGUGAAAUCAGCCUCCCGAACCUGUGGUGUAUCCUCUGUGAUGCUGCUGUGGUCCCACCACAUCCCCUCCCCAGGGUCUGGUUUGGGGUUCACAGGUGUCAGUGAGAGCCCCAACAGCUCUGCUGGCUCCGAAGACUGGCGCAGAGCCGAACCACGGGUGGGGAGCAGAGCACAGCAGGGACAAAAGGCAGCGGGUGGAUGAAAAGCCCUCUUGGGAGCACCGAUGUGCCAUUCUCUGGGGCUGGCCUCCUGCCUGGACUCUGUCCUCAUGGUGUCACCAGUUCUCCCACAAAGAAAAGGGACAGGCAGUGAGGUUGGCAGCAUGCAGCAUCCCACCCUAUGGCACGGCACAGCGAGGACAGCCAGACCCCAGGUGACCGUAACCCAGCCUCAAAUGAUGUCUCUGGGUGCCCACUCACUCCCAAAUC
This 1196-nucleotide long non-coding RNA is filed under the name Gallus gallus (chicken). RNAcentral's name for it is "long non-coding RNA NONGGAT004774". The record is from RNAcentral. Lineage: Eukaryota; Metazoa; Chordata; Aves; Galliformes; Phasianidae.